This 465-nucleotide ribosomal RNA is filed under the name Vreelandella stevensii. Its description in RNAcentral is "partial 16S ribosomal RNA". It matches the Rfam family "Bacterial small subunit ribosomal RNA", at positions 338 to 795 of the family's 1533-position model. Lineage: Bacteria; Pseudomonadati; Pseudomonadota; Gammaproteobacteria; Oceanospirillales; Halomonadaceae. The record is from RNAcentral.
CCUACGGGUGGCAGCAGUGGGGAAUAUUGGACAAUGGGGGGAACCCUGAUCCAGCCAUGCCGCGUGUGUGAAGAAGGCCCUCGGGUUGUAAAGCACUUUCAGUGAGGAAGAACGCCUGGUGGUUAAUACCCGUCAGGAAAGACAUCACUCACAGAAGAAGCACCGGCUAACUCCGUGCCAGCAGCCGCGGUAAUACGGAGGGUGCGAGCGUUAAUCGGAAUUACUGGGCGUAAAGCGCGCGUAGGUGGCUUGAUAAGCCGGUUGUGAAAGCCCCGGGCUCAACCUGGGAACGGCAUCCGGAACUGUCAAGCUAGAGUGCAGGAGAGGAAGGUAGAAUUCCCGGUGUAGCGGUGAAAUGCGUAGAGAUCGGGAGGAAUACCAGUGGCGAAGGCGGCCUUCUGGACUGACACUGACACUGAGGUGCGAAAGCGUGGGUAGCAAACAGGAUUAGAUACCCCAGUAGUU